UACGGGGGGGGCAAGCGUUGUCCGGAAUUAUUGGGCGUAAAGGGCUCGUAGGCGGUUUGUCGCGUCGGGAGUGAAAUCCACUGGCUUAACUGGUGGCUUGCUUUCGAUACGGGCAGACUGGAGGUAUGCAGGGGAGAACGGAAUUCCUGGUGUAGCGGUGAAAUGCGCAGAUAUCAGGAGGAACACCGGUGGCGAAGGCGGUUCUCUGGGCAUGUCCUGACGCUGAGGAGCGAAAGUGUGGGGAGCGAACAGG
This 253-nucleotide ribosomal RNA is filed under the name uncultured bacterium. Its description in RNAcentral is "partial 16S ribosomal RNA". It matches the Rfam family "Bacterial small subunit ribosomal RNA", at positions 524 to 776 of the family's 1533-position model. The record is from RNAcentral.